This 148-nucleotide signal recognition particle RNA is filed under the name Homo sapiens (human). Its description in RNAcentral is "Metazoan signal recognition particle RNA". It matches the Rfam family "Metazoan signal recognition particle RNA". Rfam says of the family: The signal recognition particle (SRP) is a universally conserved ribonucleoprotein. The record is from Rfam by way of RNAcentral. Lineage: Eukaryota; Metazoa; Chordata; Mammalia; Primates; Hominidae.
GCCAGGCAUGGUGGCGCAUGCCUGUAAUCCCAGCUACUGGGGAGGCUGAGACAGGAGAAUUGCUUGAACCCAGGAGGCAGAGGUCGCAGUGAGCUGAGAUCGUGCCACUGCACUCCAGCCUGGGCGACAGAGCAAGACUCUGUCUCAA